This 371-nucleotide ribosomal RNA is filed under the name uncultured bacterium. Its description in RNAcentral is "bacterial SSU rRNA". It matches the Rfam family "Bacterial small subunit ribosomal RNA", at positions 527 to 896 of the family's 1533-position model. The record is from RNAcentral.
GUAGGAUGCAAGCGUUGUCCGGAUUUACUGGGCGUAAAGCGCGCGCAGGCGGCAUGGUAAGUAAGGUGUGAAAUCCAUCGGCUCAACCGGUGGGGUGCAUUUUAGACUGCCAAGCUUGAGGUCGGUAGAGGGGGGUGGAAUUGCUGGUGUAGCGGUGAAAUGCGUAGAGAUCAGCAGGAACACCCGUGGCGAAGGCGGCCCCCUGGGCCGUACCUGACGCUGAGGCGCGAAGGCUAGGGGAGCGAACGGGAUUAGAUACCCCGGUAGUCCUAGCAGUAAACGAUGGCCACUAGGUGUGGGGGGUGUUGACCCCUUCCGUGCCGUAGCUAACGCAUUAAGUKGCCCGCCUGGGGAGUACGGUYGCAAGAMUA